CCCACUUUCUUUCUCCAUAGGUAAAUUAUAUACGGUUUUGAUUGUCUAUGCCAGAGAUGAACGCAGUGUUUACGGUAACCUAUUAACUUGUACUUGGGAUGUUGAUUUAGGGUUUUUGUGUCAUGUUUUAUCAGUUGAUUGCCGCAGGUUUCACAUAUGUAUAUAUGAAUGAUCUAGUUUAGAGUCAGGAUAUUAAACAAUGUUUGACUCAUUAUAAGGUGAGUAGGAUCUGGAUAGAACUGUUGUUGUGCACAUCCACUAUCAGAAUACCUACACUAAUAAUUUAAUUGGUUAUAUGUCGUUGCAACUGAAUUUUGCCUGAAUCCUGAAUCCUGAAAUUGUCCAAGUUCAAUGUUAUCAAGUCAUCAUCUUAAGAAACUGAAGUAUUACCUGGUAAUUGGCUCUUCUUGAUAAGCUAGCCACUUAAAAUCAUUUCUUGUGAAGAGCAUUUCCUUCUUUUCUAAAACUUAUUUUGUUGUAUAAUAUAGGCACAAAGAAACUAGAUGUGAUUAAGAAAAUCGAAUUAAAUAUUCUAGUCAGCCGUUUCAAAAUAUUCAAAAGAUUAUAUUCUUCUUGAAGCAAUAUAAAGUCAAUAUUUAUCAACCAAGUUGAUAAUAAUGAAAUAAAAGAAAUCAAAACAUGUAAGUUACAUAUUUAAUUGCCGCUAAGCUUGAAAACUUAACCAAAGAAAGUUUCCCUCUGAUUAAUUAACCAUUAUCUUAAAUUGUGUUGUUGUAUAUAGUCUUUAAACCUUCGAUUAAGUUGUGUAGAAAACAUGGAGGAGUCGAGCGAGAGGGUUGUUCGGUUAGAGCAACACGAUGAGAUCACGAUGGGCGAUGACUUGGUUAUCCAUUCCAUCCCACAGGACCUAGCACUAGCAGUAUCGGCGAUAUAUGAUCGCAUGAUGGUAGAUGUGGAGGGAGUUAUUGUUUAACCAAAUCAGAGACACCUUCCUCUCGUAUACCACCCCAUCAUACUUAGGCUUCGUCGGUCUCCCCGACGAAGAAUGUCAACGACCACGGCCAGCUCUUUGUAAGGCUAGACGGAGACGCGAUCCUCCGCCUCGAGUAUCUAGACGAUCCUCGCAGGUGUCUCCACCGAUUUAUCUACGCCAUAGGUUUCUGCCACAGUCACGUAAAGACUCUUCUUCUCGACGCCAACGUUGAUCUUCUAAUCAUUUAUAUGAUAUGAUGUUCUUUGUGUCAUUGUGUGUUGUGUCUACAUAUCAUAAUAAUAAUCGGAUGUCUCCGAAGUGUGUACAGUUUAUUUGAAAUUCUGGUAUACAACAAUAAACCGGGAAAUUAUGUACCAACUCCCGGUUAUUGAGACUAUAAAUCUCUCUCUAUCUAUAUCU
Molecule: long non-coding RNA, 1354 nt
Organism: Brassica oleracea var. oleracea
Lineage: Eukaryota; Viridiplantae; Streptophyta; Magnoliopsida; Brassicales; Brassicaceae
Exons: 2
Source: RefSeq, a predicted model, not a curated record